CGCAAACGUCAUCGUCAGGGAGUCGACGUUCAAACAUGGCCGUUCUGGAGAUUCUCGCGAAGUAAACACACACCAAAUUCCUCGCAAUUAGGGAAGUAUUCCUUAUCUUUUUGAAAAUUAGGUGUGCUUUUUGGUAUGCUGAAUGUGUUGUGCGAACGUGUAGCCGAGUGUCACAAGUGUCAACGAGCUGUAUUUCGUGUUCAGUAAAAGUUUGUUCUGAACGACAAGCGAGUUAAAUCCACCGCCUCUUGCACGGCAGCUUAUGUGUACACACACGUACUGUAUACAGCACGCAGGAUUGACCGUGUACAGCUAUGUAGAAAGAGAAUGCCGCCUGCAGAUUCUGCCCAUCUUGUCAGCGGCUCGUGACCACAUAAACUCAUUAGAAACCGCAACCGGAAUGGCUUAUUUUCAAAGUUGCCGAUCAUAGUUGUUAUUAGUAAACAACGGUUUAAAGUAAGGCAUGUUGAAGCUGUAGUUUUGCUGUCGUAACUGGUUCUUCAACCGUUGGAAUAAUUUGUGUUGAUUUGGCAUGAUUGAUUGGAAGUGGAACUUAGCGAGUUGAACUAGUGAACUGAAGACGAAGUCAAGUCUCAACAUCAACAUCUCAAGAGUCAUGAAGAAGGUGGUUUUGCAAAGUGCAUCAUCGUACUUAUAGCAUUUGGUUAAUUGAAGAACAUUGAUACUGAAAAAAAGCCUUUACAAAAAUGAGAACUUCAGAAUCCUGACAAGAAUUCCUACGCAGAAUUUCAUUUAAAAUACACUGACACUCCGAUGCUGACCAGUUGAUGAGACACACCAAAGACACAGCUGAGGCCGAUAAAUAAAACUUUUGCGGCGUAAACUUGGUUUGAAGGUUGGCCAAGCCCGACACAUGCUAAGAACUUGUUGCCUGCUUCGGUUAGGAGUUGGUCGGUGACAGGAAAAUAUGAUGAACAUUUUGUCGUCCAUGAUGGCGGAGGAAAGUGAACUGCUGAGUGCAUCUGAAAUUAUCAAAGAUCGAUUCUACUUUGCUACCUUGAGGACGAAGCCGAGAAGUACAAUCAACACGCAUUAUUUCAACAUCGCAGAUGAACUGGUGUAUGAGAACUUCUAUGCAGACUUUGGGCCCUUGAAUCUCGGUCAGCUCUACAGAUACUGCUGUAAAGUCAACAAGAAAUUAAAGUCUUUCUCGUUAGCAAAGAAGAAGAUUGUGCAUUACACGACAUUCGAUGCCAAGAAACGUGCAAACGCAGCAUACCUUGUCGGGGCAUACUCGGUGAUUCAUUUGAAGAAAACUCCUGAGGAGGCAUAUCGACCGCUCGUUGCUGGAACCAAUCCACCAUACCUUCCAUUCAGGGACGCAUCCUACGGAGCCUGCACGUACAACCUGACCCUACUGGACUGCCUCAAAGCCAUCGAUAAAGCAAUAACACACAACUUCCUUAAUUUUGAAUCCUUUGACGUGGAAGAGUACGAACAUUACGAGAGAGUGGAAAAUGGUGACUUCAAUUGGAUUCUACCGGGGAAAUACCUUGCCUUCAGUGGCCCCCAUCCUAAGAGCAAGAUUGAAAAUGGCUACCCAUUACAUGCGCCGGAGGCUUACUUCCCCUACUUCCGCAAGAACAGCAUCACGACCAUCAUCCGCCUCAACAAGAAGAUCUACGACGCCCGGCGGUUCACCGACGCGGGCUUCGACCACUACGACCUGUUCUUCAUUGACGGCAGCGUGCCCAGCGACGCCAUCGUGCAGCAGUUUCUCACGAUAUCCGAGAACGCCGAGGGCGGGCUGGCGGUUCAUUGUAAAGCCGGUCUGGGUAGGACUGGUACCCUGAUAGGUUGCUACAUGAUGAAACACUACCGGAUGACAGCAGCCGAGUGUAUAGCAUGGCUGCGGAUUACCAGGCCGGGCUCGGUCAUUGGUCCCCAGCAACACUUUAUGGAAGAAAAACAAGCUAGCAUGUGGGUGCAAGGGGACAUUUCUCGAUCCAAGACGAAGCGGGGACAGUUGAGCUACAAGCAAGGAGUCUCGCACAUUCUCAGGGCUGUCGAUGACAUAUCCAUCACGGACAACGACCGGACAUAUGAGGCUAAACAGGAAGAGCCUUAUUCCCUGCGCUCCAAGUCGUCCCAUAGUUCCGUCCCAAUGACCCAGGGAGACAAGCUACGGCAGCUGAAGGGCUCGAGGAAAGCCCGCUCAGCAACCACGGGAGCUCUGAAGGUGGAAGAUGCCAAAAUGCACACAAGAUCUACAUCCCAGCCCCACAGAAUCGCCGCGACGUCGUCGAGCCCCGUCGCAACCUCCCCUCUGAAGGCCACCAAGGCAGCCAGUCACAGUGCGGCAAGUCACAGCGCCGUGCCCCGCCGCAGCACAAGACACUCCGCAGCUGCCAGCUCACCCCUUAAAAGAUGAUACAGCAGUUGUACGCAGAACAUGAUAAAAUGUACAGGGGUGAAGACAGUAGGCGUCGUACAAGUCAGCGUAUUCAUACUACUAGGUCGUCUGUGCCCCAUUAGCUAGAGACUUCUCCCCCAAGGCUCCCCGCGACACUGCACAUACCUGCACACUGAAGGACAUUGAGAAGGCGUCACUGAUGGUAGAUUUCUGAGAAUGGAACAAGACGAGAAACGAUGGAGUGGCUGUAGCGGCGUGUCUGUGACUUUGAAACCGUAGAGUGGACCCGUUGUGCAUCCAGACGUUCAUGUUGCGACCAUCUGUUUUCGGCGUUCGCAGUCUUGUACACGUACCAUCAACUGUGUCUGUAUUUGCACCGUGCGUUAUCAGUUGAGGGCGCCAAACAGUCUCAUCUUUUAAGGCAUCGUGUAGGCAAAGAAGACCGGUUAUUAGAACAGUCAGGAGCCUACCGUACAAUAAUCCAGUUGUUGGACCUGAAGGCGUGUGAAGAAACGGAGGGUUUCAUAAUCUGUGUUGACCUGAAAAGGGUUUGGCCCACACACAUGUAUGCUUGGAUGCCCAGCGCGCAGCAAGACUUUAUCCUCAAAACAAUUUCUGUGCAGUUCAAUUUAUACAAGUGCGGUAUCUCCGACUUGUGUUUUUUUACUUAGUAAUGGGGAAAAGUCUCUAGUUUAAUACUUUUUUUUUUCUUAACAUGACAACUUGUAUCCUUUUCAGUCUAAAUGUAGCUUUUAGUUUAAUUUGUAUUGCCAAUAUUCUUGUAUGUGUCAUUUCUUAGCGUCAAUUCUAAAUUCCCCUGAAAAGGUUCAAGAUGUUGUUUGGAUGGAAAUGCCUGUUGUAUUUGAAACUGAACUCGCAUUGGGACAUGAGCCUUAAAGAGGCAUGUACAUGAGCCUUAAAGAGGCAUUUAAGUCAAUUGGUUGUUUGAUGUUUGUUAGACCAAAAAAUGAACGUAUCUCUGCAGAGAGAACCAACAGUUGUAGACAUGUCUAUUUGUGCAUGUUUUAAAGCUGAACAAAUGGGGGGGGGGGGACGUGUUUACUUUGCCAAAGUAAAAACCUGUGCCAACUUAAUAAUCGUCCUUUACACAUAUGUCCCAAUGUACGUUCACAAUAUUUGCACGUGUACAUAAUGUAGACUUUUCACCCACUUUGGGGGAAUUUUGUAGCAUCAAACACAAUACCUUUACUGGAGAACCUUUGUAUUCAAUCACUGUAAUUUUCUAUUUUUAUGAAUGAAUUUUUUCCAAUGAUAAUGGAAUUUUCAUAUUUUUCCGUAAGACUGUAGUUAAAUUACACAUGCAUUUUUAAACAGUUUGCAUAUAUUUCUAAUUGAUGUAUUUUCUUUUUUGUUUUCAAGAGAUUUUUAAGGAGUGUUACUCCGUUGGGAUGAGUAAAUGUAAUGUAGGAGUACGUUGUAUGUUACAUAAAAAGAUGCUAUUUUUGGAAUGUGUAUAGGAAUUUGUCUAGGAUAUAACACUUUUAUGAAUUAGUUAUCGGUGUUGAAAGUGUGUGUAUGUAGAUAACUACCGAUGAACAUAUCUUAUUGUUUUUCUUUUUCUUUUUUCUUUUCUUUUUUUUUCGGCUGCAAUGUGGCAAUCAACAAUUCUUCCAUAAAUUUCUUAAAAACAUGCCAAUUUUAUUUCGAAAUCUGUACAGAGAAAAGGUGCCCACAAUUUGAACGGGGCAUUCUGAAAAAAGGAAUGUUUAGGUUUGUAUAAAAAAAAAAAAAAAAAUCACCAAAUGUUGCUAGUCUAUUUUUCUAGAAAUUCAAGAAAGAGUAUUAUUGUUGUAAUCUGGAUGUUGGACAUUAAGUACUUCUUUUUUUCUUGACAGUGUAAUGAGACUCGGUCUUGGAAGGGAAUUUUUGUAUGUCUUGGGACAGUCUGCUCAAGAAUUCAUAUAUUUACAGUGUUGCGUAAUUCACGAAGCACAUUGAAAGGGUGGAUUUGGCGACAGAAUUUACGUGUAACUGCAUUGGUUACCUUCCCCCCCCCCCCCAAAAAAGUGUCAAAUAAUAUUUUUCUUCUGAACUGGUUUUUGCUUUGCUUUGCAGAAGCUAGGAAAUUGGUUGCAUCCUGACGCCACUUUUUUUCUUAAUCUUUUAUCUCAAUGAAGGCCAGUCAUUGCAAAAAUGUGGAAAAGACAUGAAUCUGGGACUGAGAUUCACUCCACUCUCCCUAGACUUAGUACACAACCAAAGAAGUGGUUUCUGGACACUACAUUUUUUCUGAGAAAAUCAGUUUAAAUCACUAUCUAGCUAAGACAUUUCACAAAGUUCCCAACUAAAAUACAAAACUGAUUAAAUGAACUCAAAGUGGCUCCUAGCUAUCCGCAAAUUUAUCUUUUGCAUAAAUUUAAGUUCGAUAUAAAUGUGAUUGACAAUGUUAUCUACGUAUCUCCAUUCCUGUGAUGUGACAUGUGGAAUUUCCUAGGUUAUGUGACUGAUUUUCAAUUCCUUAUGGAGCAACUAACGCAUGCAUGGCUAAAUUUUGUUAUAAUUCACAUUGAGAAUUGACCUUUUUUUUUUUAGUCCAUUGACAUACUUGGCUGCUUGUUUCAGCAUCUGUGACUAGAUUGCGGCAAAGGCAGGCAGCUUUAAGGUUUUCCACGAACAAGUUGUUUCCUGAGCAUUUAGUUAAAAUUUUUAUUGAAUUGUUAUUACAUGUAAGUUUUAAUUUUUAAUAGUAUCAGAACUUAGAAUGGGUUUGUGGAACGACAUCUUUCAUUUCCCAAUGCUCAGUUUUAUUGAAAUGCUUAUUAAUGUUUAUUGUUAAUUAGCUACUUAGUUAAUGAAUAUUGUUAAUGAUUGAAGAGCAAAGUGCGAGCCCCAUUGACGUAUUCAGCACUAAAAAUGUAAAUCUACAGAAAUUGACACAAAAAAAGGUUUGCGGAGCAUUGAAAAGAAAGCUAUCAAUUUAACUUUGAGACUAACAUUACCUAACUAGUUGGCAUUCUCAGGUGACGAAAUUCAAAAGUUUUUAUUGCUUGUACAAAAAAAAGGAAAAUGUAUAUUUGAGGCUGUGCUAUGUACCAAUGAAAUCCACUAUGCUGGCAGAUCAGUGAUUUUGUAAGAAAGGGUUGAAUGUGUUUAAAUAAUGCUUGUUUUGAAUGAACUUUUGGAUUUUUUUGUAGCACUUGAAGAUAUGACAGCACUCUUUGUUAAUUUGUCAGGCUUUGACAUCAAUUGGGUAGGGUUUCAUAAUUGAGCUGAAGUGAUGUGUGGCAAUUGAACGAGCCAACCUAAUUUAGAAUUAUCUACAUUGGCGAGCAUCUUUAAUUAAUGAAUUCAUUUUUGUGAUCACUGAGCAAUAAGCCUUGCAUAUCAAAUUUUAAGGUUUUUUUUUUAAACCGAGUUGGAGGCCUAAUGUGGAAUUCUUUCACGCGUGUUUGCCCCACUUUAUAACUGAAACGACUGUUGUUAUUUGCCGAUGUGCAUGGCAGGAUGCAUACAUCUGUUUUGCUUGUGUGACUUCACAUGCAUGAAUGUUUGAGAGAAACAUUUUGAACUUUUGGUCUAUUUUUGUGGAUUGGAUGUUUUGUUUAAAUUGCUACAGAUUUUACAAAUUCGACCUGAUGAAAUGCUUCACUGCAGUUUGAGUGUGAACCCCAUUUUGCACAGUAAUCACAAUUGACUUAAGAUUUACGUUUUUUAGAUUUUGAAUUUUUUUUAAUGAAUAUUAUAUUUUUCCUUUAAGUGUGUACAAUAAUUUGAUUGUUCAGGGCGGCAGCGAGUCUUAGAUGAUUUGAAUAACAUUCCGCUGUUUUUAAUUGUUUCGGUGUAAAUAUAAUUGUAAUUCGGGCUAGCUCUUCAUCGUAAUGGUGUGUAUGCUGUAAACGGUUUUAAAAGCAAUUCUCUUCUGAAUUUGAAAUGAAUUUGCGAACGUAUUUUUGAUUACGAUGCUCAUGCAGAUAGCAGAGCGCGAUUUUAAGUUACUUCUUAAUGCGAGAACAGCUUUUGAAGACAUUUUUAAAGUUUGCAUCGCACCGAUUUUUUGUGCGUGGAUUGCAUUUUUUAAAAGCAUGCUUUGGAUGUAUUCAAUUCCUAACAUGAAAAUGAAUAAAUUUACGGUAUACAGUUAAAUAGCUAGAUAUUUUGCAACUUUAAAGUGGCAGCUCCGUGCCCGGGAUGGGGCAACGAUAAAAACACUGACCCUGACCAUGUGGUGUGAACAGUUGAAUACAAAUAAUUUAAUCUUGGGGCUGUACACCACAUUUUAACAUCCCGUAGCCAUCUGAAAUGACCGUCUGUCUUGGUAGUGAUUUGAAUAGGACAUUAAUGGGAAGCCCGUUACCGAACCGUCUCUCUGGAUAUUCAGAUUAGUUUUUCACUGGAGACCGGGCGGCUCGCUUUGGAACAUAGUAUUUUUGUGAUAAAGGAAUUAAAGUUUCUAAGACAUCAGU
Molecule: unclassified non-coding RNA, 6798 nt
Filed under: Patiria miniata (bat star)
Lineage: Eukaryota; Metazoa; Echinodermata; Asteroidea; Valvatida; Asterinidae
Description: dual specificity protein phosphatase CDC14AB-like, transcript variant X7
Source: RNAcentral